RNAcentral lists this ribosomal RNA (245 nucleotides) under uncultured bacterium. RNAcentral's name for it is "partial 16S ribosomal RNA". It matches the Rfam family "Bacterial small subunit ribosomal RNA", at positions 524 to 768 of the family's 1533-position model. The record is from RNAcentral.
UACGUAGGGGGCGAGCGUUGUCCGGAGUUACUGGGCGUAAAGGGCGUGUAGGCGGUUGGGUAAGUCUGGUGUGAAAUCCCGUGGCUCAACCACGGAAUAGCGCUGGAAACUGUCUGACUGGAGUUCGGUAGGGGUCACUGGAAUCCCCGGUGUAACGGUGAAAUGUGUAGAUAUCGGGGGGAACACCUGUGGCGAAGGCGGGUGACUGGGCCGCAACUGACGCUGAUACGCGAAAGCGUGGGGAG